RNAcentral lists this ribosomal RNA (202 nucleotides) under Lactobacillus delbrueckii subsp. bulgaricus. Its description in RNAcentral is "partial 23S ribosomal RNA". It matches the Rfam family "Bacterial large subunit ribosomal RNA", at positions 1134 to 1340 of the family's 2925-position model. The record is from RNAcentral. Lineage: Bacteria; Bacillati; Bacillota; Bacilli; Lactobacillales; Lactobacillaceae.
GUAAUAGCUCACUAGUCGAGUGACGCCGCGCCGAAAAUUUACCGGGGCUAAGCAUGAUACCGAAACUGUGGAUGUGCGUUUAUGCACGUGGUAGGAGAGCGUUCUAGCGGCGGUGAAGCAUGACUGAGAAGACAUGUGGAGCUUCUAGAAGUGAGAAUGCCGGUAUGAGUAACGAAAGACAGGUGAGAAUCCUGUCCGCCGC